UUGGAGGGCAAGUCUGGUGCCAGCAGCCGCGGUAAUUCCAGCUCCAAUAGCGUAUAUUAAAGUUGCUGCAGUUAAAAAGCUCGUAGUUGAAUUUCGGGACCAUCAUGUCGGUCGUGCCUCGGUACGUACUGGUAUUGUUGGUUUCUCCCUUCUGACGAACCAUGAUGUCAUUUAUUUGGUGUUGUGGGGAAUCAGGACUGUUACUUUGAAAAAAUUAGAGUGUUUAAAGCAGGCUCACGCUUGAAUACAUUAGCAUGGAAUAAUGAAAUAGGACGUUUGAUUCUAUUUUGUUGGUUUCUAGGAUCGACGUAAUGAUUAAUAGGGAUAGUUGGGGGCAUUAGUAUUCAAUUGUCAGAGGUGAAAUUCUUGGAUUUAUUGAAGACUAACUACUGCGAAAGCAUUUGCCAAGGAUGUUUUCAUUAAUCAAGAACGAAAGUUAGGGGAUCGAAGACGAUCAGAUACCGUCGUAGUCUUAACCAUAAACUAUGCCGACUAGGGAUCGGAUGAUGUUAUUUUUAAUGACACAUUCGGCGCCUUACGGGAAAC
This 546-nucleotide ribosomal RNA is filed under the name uncultured Glomeromycotina. RNAcentral's name for it is "SSU rRNA". It matches the Rfam family "Eukaryotic small subunit ribosomal RNA", at positions 548 to 1098 of the family's 1831-position model. Lineage: Eukaryota; Fungi; Glomeromycota. The record is from RNAcentral.